UGUUACAUGAAGUUCUGUUAGCUUGCACAGAAAUAUCAGAGGAAAGAAAAAAGCUUCGAGUUUUAGCUUUUUAAACCAUACAGCCAUCUUGUUUGGUUAAAAAAAGCACCAAAUUUUUUUUUUUUUUUUUUUGGAGGUGGUGGAGGGACCAGAGAGGAAAUCUAACAACCUGAAAACACAAACCAAGUUCCUUAAAAAACCAAUAAUUAAACAUACAACCUUGUUUUGUUUUUACUUUUAAUCAGCUGGGUGUUCCCAGAAGCAAAAUCGAAGAAACAAGUCCCCCGGGCUUCAUAUCAAUUAAGAUGUCAUCACAAAUAAUUAUCAUUAUAGUUAUGAUUGGAAGACAUUAACACAAUAUUUUUGUUAUGAUUGGAUGAUUUUUCAAAAGAAAAAGGAAAGAAAUUUGGACAACCAUAUCCAUAAAAUUUCCAAUCCAGAGUGCAGGUUCAGGUUGUAGCAGAACAAAAACGUUACAAAGUUACAAGCAUACAUUUCAAAUUUGAAGAAUUAUGAAUACAACCAGUUUGCUAGAUCCUGAAAUCCAUUGAAGAUCUACGCUUCAGAACACUGAAAACUAAGCAACCCAGGUUGCAGAAUUCAGAGAAAAAAUGGAAAAAGGUAGUGAAUUUUGGUAAAUUGUGAUGAAGCAAAACAAACCCAUGUUGCAGAAUUCAGAGAAAAAGGGAAAAAAAAGAUAUGAAUUAUGGUAAUUUUUGAUGAAGCAAAACAAACCCAUGUUACAAUAUUCAGAGAUAUAUGGGGUCAUUAUUAAUAUCAUUACCAUUAUUGAUAGAGAACAUAAAAAAGGUGAGGUACCUUAUGUUUGCAGGGAAGGCAUUGAUGUCAGAGAUACAUUAAGAAUUUCUCAAAAUUAAGAGACACAACACAGAAACAGUAAUAAAAAGCAAACUGGCUGUGGAAGGAGAGAGAGAGAUAGAGAGAGAAUGAUUAAAGAUGAUUACCUGAGUGAUUAAGAGUCAAGGCCCAGAUGAUGUUGAAUAAGAGACCAAAGACCAAAAACUCCUCCUUUGACCACCACCACCACUACCCACUAACCUCCCAACCACCCCUACCCCUCCAAACCCAAAAUCUGUCAAAAAUCCUUCCUUUCUCUUCAAUUCAGAAGAAACCCAGAAAGCAAAACUCAAUUCCAAAAAACACCAAAACAACAACCCUUCUUCCUUCCCUAUCAAAAAUCCUCAAAGCUUCUAUCUUUACCUCUCUCUGGGCUACCCCAAAUUGCUAUAGAUAUUGAUAUGAUGAUGUUCUUUGACAAAAUUACAAAAAGCAAAACCAAUACUUUAUUGUUUUAAUUUUUCACAUUAAAAAAAGGAGGGAUUUAAAAAAAAGGAGAUGGGGGUGAAGUUUUUGCAAUGGUGGUGGACCAGAAAAUGGAUGGAAUCUUUGAAGAAAGAGAGAGAAAACAACAACAGCAAAAAAAAAAAGUGAACACCACAAUCAACAGACACAGAGAAAAAGAAGCUCAAAAUCUCAAACCUUUUUUUUUUAAUUUUAAUUUUUACAUUUACAAUAUAAUUUUUUUGACCUUUUGGUUCUCCUUGUUUUACUGUUCUGGUUUUUAAAGAUACCUAAUUAGCCUGUUUAUUAUUCUCUUUUUUGUACUGGUACUCCCCAAGGACCUCUUUGUCCCCUUGCAACUGUCCAAUCACAGGCUGCCACCUGGAAUUUGUCACGACAUGCAAGGGCAUUUUCGUCCUGUUAAAAAAUUCAUGAUUAGAGCAUGAUGGAAGUAGGGUUAGAGUUGGUGGCAGGCGAUUGCAGCCUGCUGGUAAUUAUUGGGGAUUUUAUUUAUUUAUUUUUAUUUAUUUUAGUUAAAAAUUAAUUAUUAGAAAAUAUGUGUAACGCUGGGGUGUCCAGAGUGUUUAGCUGCCUAACACCUGUUUAAGUAUCCUUCAAAUGUGAAAGGAUGUUGUAACUGCCUGUUGCAGAUUUGCACUUCAGCUUUUUUCGUAGUAAUUAAUGUAUAAUUAAUAUAUUAUUGCUAUAAUUAAUAAUAUAAUUAUCAUUACCUGCUAAUAUUAGCUUCAAUAUAAACCAAAAGUAAAAGCAUCAUGGUUAUAACUUAUACGUUCAACAUAGGUUUUUUUUUGUCACUCGCUAUUUUUUUGUCACUCGCUGUGUUAAUAUAAGACAUUUAUGUUGUCGGCCUAUAAAUUUACACAUUAACCAAUAUUCUUAAAACAAGUUUAGGAGGUUUAUUCAAUCUAGAAUACAAGCAUGGUUUUAUGUCGAAUAUGCAUAAGCAUAUUCGUUUGUCGCACUCAACUCUAGUUAACAUAAAUGAUCUUGCAAGAGAUUUUGAUGUUUAAUUCAAUUUGUAAGCAUGAUUACAUGUCGAAUAUAGGCAUCUUCUCUCAUUACACUUGUGUUUUUAGAUUAUGAAUCUAAACCGCAAUAUGAUGGAGAUUGUCUUACUUAGAGAGAUUUAUUACAACUAUGAGCACAAAACUUGUGUUUAUUGGACCACGAGACCACAAGACAAGGUUUGAUGUUUAUUAAACAAGAUAGAAAUGUAAGACAAGCAGUUAAAAGACAAUUGCAUAGGGAUGGUCGGAGCUCUCAAGGAUGAAGAAUGGUAAAUAACAUUUGACCCCCAACCCUAUCUAACUUUUUGAGAACUAAUCAACAACUUACGCAAUAUAAGUAAAACUGGUAAACGAGUUUUGUUUAUCGUGUUCAUGUCAUAUUUGUUGUCUUAACAGUCAUAUCGUGUCAAAUUAGUUAUCUUAACGGAUCGUGUUGUGUUCAACGUGUUAUUCUAACGAGUCGAGUCAUGUUAAACCCAUUAUCUUAACGGGUUCUUAAUAAGUUACCAAAUAACGACCCGAUUCUUAACGAGUCGCGGCGUUUUGUAUCGAGUUAACUGGGUCAUGUAAGAAAUUACCAUGUCUAAUGUAUACAUUAAUAUCAAGUUCUUAAUCCUGACUCGUUAACGGAUGAUCCGAUAACGAUCCGACUCGUUAACAGGUUUUUAACGAACCCGAUGACAAGCCAACUCGUUAAUAGAUGACCUGAAACUUGUUAUUUUUGUGUCGUUUUAUGUAGAGUUAAUAGGUCGUGCAAAAAAAAAAAAAAAAUAUAUAUAUAUAUAUAUAUACACACACACAUAGGGGCUUUUAGAUCGAGGUCCAAAAAUAUAGAUGGUUUUUAGGAGUGAGUCCAGUUAUCUAAUUAUAUGUUUUUAUUUCUUUUAUACUCAUUUUAUAUUUUUUUAAAUAUUAAAAAUCAAUUAAAAUCUUCUAAUAUUAUGCAUUUUUCAACUCCAAAAAAUCUAAUUAAUAUCUUAUAACAAAAAUAAAAACUAAUAUACUAACAUAAAAAUAAUUAACAUAAAAAUAAUUAACAUGUGAUAUAGGUUGAUUAUAAAAAUUAAAAAUAAAAUCUGUAAAUGGGGUUUAAAGCAUGAGGAAGAACAAGAAAUAACAAAAAUAAAUAAAAAGAAAUAAUCAAAGAGAUAAUUAGGAAGAAAUUUGACUUGUAUAAUAAAUCUUAUCAUUGAAUAGAUAAUUAUUGAUAACAAAAUAAUUAAAUUUAAGGAAUUGGACUUAUUUUAAUAAAUUGGACUAUUUCUACUAUUGGCUAAAAAAAUUGAACUUAUAUCAAAUUUUCCUUUUUUUUAUUGAAAUGAAAUAUAAGACCUUUAAGCUAACUUAUAGUAUUUUCAGGCCAAAAAGGACAAGUUUAGAGUUUUUUUCAAAUAUACAAUUUACUCCUCACAUGCUUAGGCAAUACAUAUCCAUUAUAAAAUAAGUAGAAACUUAAAACAAAAACCAGAUUUUCACUCUCAAUACUUUAAUAAUCCCAACAAUAAUUUGGUUGUGAACCAAGGCAAAACAAUGAAAUAAUAAACAGUUGGAAUUAUCAAUGACAUAUUAUCUUUUUGUUAACAAAGGAGGGAAUGGAAUAUUAAGUCUAUUCGGCUAUCGUUUUUUUUUUUUUUUUUAAGUUAAAGUUUCUAUUAUACUCUAAAAUUUAACGGAAAAAAGGGCGUUAGUGAAAAUGAGAAAUAGUGCAACACAUUGCUAAGAUUAAGUUAAACUAUGGGUAAAGUUCAUAAAUCAUUGUUAUAAUUAAGCCAAUCUAUUUUAAUUAUAAUAUUCACUCAUGACUUUAUCAUCCCUCGCCAAUCGAUGAAUCAUAAGAACUUUAGCUUUUAAGUGAUAUUGCUAAGAAUAUUUUGGCAAUAAAAUUUUAACUAAUUGAUUACUUAAGUGGGAGUGAGGGGGGGGGGGAGGGGGGACAUAGACCAAUAUAUCAAGUGUCGUAAUACAAUUGAUCGAUUUUUUUGUUUAAGUUUUCAAUCAAUUGUAUUAUGAUAUUUGGUAUACUGAGUCGUAUUUCCAGCAUAUUGAAUAAUCUCUUGACAUGUGGAUUGGAAAUGUCUAAGCACACAGGAAAUAGUGGUGAAAAGGUUGGGACCAAUAUUUAGGGUUGGAUUCUAUCUACAAAAAUAAUGAUUGGUUUAUAACUAAGUAUUGUUGCUAAUUUGAUUCUAAUUUUUGUUGUGCUUAUAUAGAAUAAUGAUAUAUUAUGAAGAAUCUAAUUCUAAAUCUAAUCUGACCAUGCAAUUUGUUAUGUGUUCAAUAUUUAAGGUACGGUUUUUGAGUUGUCCACUUUGCACAAAGUUAUUCCAAUCACUAUAGUUUAAUCAUUUCACUAAUACUCAUGACUCAUGAUUGUUCAAAAGACUAUGGGGAAUUACAAAAGAAAAUACCAAAAGCUUAAUAAACAACAAAAGUAGCAAGGCCAUACCAUCAAAUCCAUUAAAAAAAUUUCUCUAAAUCCACACAUCUCAAAUGAAAUAUGAAUAGUGGAUCAUAUUUUGCACGAUUAUCUCACCAAAAUCAUGAAUAAAAUCUUACGCGUUUUCCUUUUCUCAAAUAAUGAAAUAAUACGAGGUUUGAUCUGGUUUGAUUUGGUUCGGUUCGGUUCUGUUAUAAAAUAUACAUCAAAUUAACAAUUAUCAGUUAUUUACAAUUUAGAGCUGAUUGUUUGUUUCAUACUCUUUUGCCUAUUAUACAAAAUCAAAUGAGAGAGAAUUUGAACCAUGUGAACUAAUGCAAGAUUAAAAUAAAAAGUAAUAUGGGAAGAAAGUUGAAAUUUCAUCAUAAAAUCAAUUAGCAAUAUGAAGAGUAGUUUAAUAUCUUCUAAGCCUUUGCAAGGUUUCUCCUUUCACUGAUGUGAGACUUUGUUACUUUACAUCCUCACACGCUCACUCACGUGUAAAUUUUUUCAAGCCAAUUACGUUGACAACACAAAUUGAGUGACGUUGAGCACGUGUGACUGUUGGGCUCACAUGAUGUGAGACUCUUUCACCUUCACUUCCUCAAACGCCCCCUCACGUGUAACGAAUUUUCAAGUCAAACACGUAAACAACACAAAUUGAGUGACGUGAAACACAUAUGGCCGUUGAGCUUCAUACAUGGGUAUAGAGGUGGCAAAUCAAUCAAUUGAGUUGUUAAUGGGUACCCGUUAAGUCUCGUUUAAUUUGAUAUCACCAUUAUAUAAAGGUGAGAUUGGUAGUGGUGAUAAUAGUGUAAGGUGAAAUCAAACUAAAUGGGUCUUAAUGGGUACCCGUUAAUAACUCAAUAAGUUGAUUUGCAUCACUACGUGGCCCAACCUGCUUUGAUACUAUGAAGAAAAUUAAGAUUUUACUAUAAGACCAAUUGACAAUAUGAGAAGUAAUCCAAUCUUUUAUAAAUCCUUGCAAAAAAUUUCUUUCGCGGAUGUGUUACCCAUACAUCGACCCUCACAAUUAAUGAUAAGUAGAUAUGAGAAAAUAUGAUUGAGCCAAAAAUUGGCACCAAUGGGUCUUAAGAGGAGAUUUGGAUAUAUUUUGUUGGGAUGUGGUAAGCAUAUGCCAAAUGGAAGGAUGAGAAUUGACCCCAAACCUCCAACAAGACAUGCAACACAAAAUUGCCAACACAACACGUAAAGAAAAUUUAGAAAAUUGAGUCUUACAAAAAACAAUACAUCAAUUUUUAAAUAGCUAACAAACAGCACCUUGUCGAUCCUCAUCCUCCUCCAAUCUUCCUCCCCUUCAUGUGACAACAUACAGUAUAUUUAUUUAUUUACAAACAAAAUUAAAUAUGUUACAUAAAACUUUAAGGACGUGUCCCUAUUUUCCCAUUUCUACUGAGUCAAAAAGAUACUUUGACUGAGUCCCUUUCUCAUCAAACUCUCUCUCUCUCUCUCUCUAUCUCUCUCUCUCAUCACACUGCAGUUACCAAUGUUUUUAUUUCGACAUCAAACUCUCUUUAGUCCUCCCAUGUGGCUUCUCAUGGCAACUCCCUCUAUCUCGUCAUACUCUGACUCAGUAUUUUUUCUCAUUUCAACUGUUUGCAGAUACACAACCAGAUUAUGAAUUAUGUUAGGUCUCUUAAUGUAUCAACGGUCCAAGAGAUAUAUAUAUAUAUUUUUAUGUAAGUGGUGAGAUGAGAUCUCUUAAUCACCUUUUGUAAAGUAGAAGUGAUGAAGAUCACAUAUGGAUAUCUUAAGGUUUCUUUUCAUUGAGGUAUUAUACAAGUAUGUGAUGCUCGUCACGGAUUAGGGAUUCUCUCCGGAUCUUCUUUGUGAUGAUCCUGGAGAUCCUCUAAUCACAUUUGUUCAUCAUAUAUAGUGCAGUCAAUUUUUAUCAGGUACUAUUUAUAUUUAACUUUAAAUAACAAGAUUUACAAUGAUUUCUGACAGUACGAUAUACGAUAAACAUAUGUGAUUGGAAGAUCCCGGAAUCCUCACAAAGAGGAUAUGGAGAGGAUCCUCAUUCGGUCACACUUGAGUUAUUUUUCCAUUGAAUUAAAAUCGCAUACACAUAUCUGAUCGAUUGAGCUUAAUAUUUGUCAAGAACGAAGAUCUUGCAUGGGCUUAUAAGAAAGUAGAGCUACUUCCCAUUACUAAUUGGUUUUAUGAUGGAACCUUAACUUUUUAUGAUAUCAAAGCAAUUUAUCUCACGUAUGAAACCCAACAACCACACGUCACCACAAAUGUGUUGAGCUAUUUCUUAUAUUGUCAAUUUGUAAUCUCAACUUUUUUCGCAGUACGUAAUCGUAAGUUUCGGAAUGAUUAACUAUGAAGUUAGGUUUGUAAUGGUGAUUGCACAAUUUGGAUUAUUCAGUCGAUAUACGCUACAGUUAAUAGUCUUUGAGUGAAUAAGAGAGGUGGACCCAUAAGGGGAUUCACAUCAACCAAUCAUGAAAAUUACGACUUUUUUGGUGAGGAAUUUUGGAGUCUCAAGAAAUUGAGGUCAAGUAUUUGAAAAUUUAUCACAAAAAGUUAGAUAUGAAGCAUUAGAAAUGUUGUUCAUCAACAUUGCAAAAGCAAGCGAGACGGAUUUGCACAUUCUGAGAAAUUUUGUUUUUUGUUUUUUGUUUUUGUUUUUUUUCAGCUAAAGAUUGUUAUCAUCUGGUAUGAAAGCUCAGCUUGUAAGGAUAUAGUAACGCUACAAUCUUUUAGAUCUAUGGUCACUAAUAUCAUUACUCCACUAAUGCAUACGAUUGUCAAACAUCGCAAAAUAGAACCUCUAAACAUGAAUGUUUGGAAGAUGAGAAUGCAGUUGCUUCUCAAAAAACAAGAUUUUUUUUUCAUUCUUGAAAAAAGAGAGCAAAUUCCUAUUUAGAAUGGACCAUUUAAAAAUAUCCCUCCUCUAAUCUGUCAUUCUACAUUGUGCGACCAAUUCCUUAGUAAUUUGAUUUGACCUCAAUCACUUAUGACUUGAAAAUUCUUCAAACAUAACCUACAAAUCCAAGUUGACCGACUGUGAAAUGUACUUAAAUCCUAAUCAAUUAACCAUAUUAAGAACUUAAAAGUUCUCUAAAAUGCGGUGGGUGGGUGGCUUGGCUUGCAUUGGAGUGGAAGGACAUGCAAAUAAAAAAGACAAGAGUCAUACAUAAAGAGUUGCAUUUGAUAAACAAAUUGAGUGAAAUCUUAGGUAACAAACUUGAGUCAGAAGUCGGUAUUUAUUAUUGGAGGAAAACCUGUCACAAUGCCAGUCUUUUUUGUGUACUCACUCACUCAGUAGCCCAGUGGACAGUUGGGAGGCGUGGGGGGACCUCUAUUUUGUAAGGAUUGACAUCGUCUUCGGAUCUCAUACUUUGAAAUCUAUGAAUCGAGUAAUUUGGAUCGUUUAAGAGAGAAAUAUUUGGACGUUGGAGAGAGAGAUUGUGUAUGAGAUGGACAAAUGUGAUUAACUAAUGAGAACUGCAUGAUUAAAAUUGCUCAAUCUACGGGCUCCGGAGCGUGAGAUUUGGAGAGGAUACCAAUCCACUUUGUAAUUCAGUUCCUCCUACCUAGCACUGGGCUGGUUGGAAGUUGCAAUGUCUAGCUUUCUAACUCAGACUAUCAUGAGAUGGGCCUCACUGAUGCUUAUUGGCACAGCUUCUUUCGUUUGGCUUUGCCACUGCUAGACCAUCUGAAAUGGGAAGAGAAAGGGGGAGAGAAACUUCCACUCACUUUGCAUGAGGGGAUGAAAGUGGGAGAGAAACUACUCUGCCGUUGCUGCCCGGCCAAAACAUAACGGGUGGGAUGAAGAGAAGGGUGUGUCAUGUGUGUGUGUGUGUGUGUGGUGCCCCGGGGAUGGUUAGGCGGGCGGUCCGGAUGCUAGACCCCAAUUUUUUCCAAAAGGGCGAAGGUUCAAAAUGUAGUUAUUGAGAAAAUCUUGUGUCUAUUUCUCGUUGUGUGAGUAAUGUGAGCAAAGAGCCGUGCAUAUAGUUAGAAGUGGUGGACUCAUGAAUUUGUGAUGAUUGACAGAGUAGAAAGAGAUUAUUAUACAAAAAAUUGUAUAAGAUAUUUCGUCAAACACCCUUAACUCAUAAUGUUACGGCCAAAUUAAAUAUCUAACUUAAGUGUAUACGAUUUUCUCUUGACAUUCAGGAUAUUUGAAGCUUGUUUUGUGGACUUAAAAACACUAUAAAGCUCUGAGCUUUAUCCCACUAGAAGAAAAAUCUUAAAAAUUAAGGGCUUAAAGCACUUGAAGAUAAAAGGAUGGAAUCAUAUAUAAUACAAGAGGACUAGUUGUUGAGACUAGAGAAUUCCCCUUUCAACUUAUCCUGCAAGAAAAACAAGCAAGACUCAAUGGAAGAGAAUCAUAACCUUGAGUUUGUUUUUCGGUGGUCCAGUCUAUUGAGUAGUCUGACUUUUUAAAUAAUUUUCAUCAUUCAAUUAUUAGAGUCAAUCUUCUCCGAUUGAUUUCCUGAACUACUCAGUAAUCCCAUACUAUUGACGAAAAUUACAUAGUUUGAUGAUCAAACUCUGUGUUUGUAAGUCCAUAUUUCUCUUACUCUUAUGCAAUUGCUACUCUUGAAAAAUAAAAGGAAAAUAAAUACAUUAAAGAUAGACAAAGUCACUUAACAUGAGCGCGUGCCACAAAGCUAAUGUUUAUAACACUACUUAUAUGUUAUGUCAACAUCACUUAUGGACUAAUUGUGAGAAACUCUCUUUGGACUAACUGGUAAAGAACCAUUUAAAUGGUUGAAUUCAUGGAACGAUAACCAUUCAUCUGCAGAAAAAAAUUCAAAACAUCCCCAUUGGGCCAAUAGGAAAAACUUCCAUGUGCCCUUCACUUUCGGAUGUGGGGCAACUCUCAUAUCUACUGUCAUGAGAAAAGUUUGGAUUCUACCUCAAAAUUAAUUGUCGGAGUGGACUAACUUAACAACUUCUUAUAAGCCUAUGCAAAGUUUUCUAGCUUUUCGAUAUGAUACAGCUCUCCACUUCCUCACAUGUAGAAAUCACAAUGGGAAUAAGGUUUGAUAAGAGAGAAUAAAUUUAAAACAUCAGGCAACAACUUACCAUCAUAAAGCAGAGAACCCUGUUUGAGGUCACCAUUUUCUAAGACAUGUAAUAAAAAACCAAAAGAAAUUUCAACUUGGUCAUUUUCAAAUGUGCAGUACCGACAAGAAAAUCUGCACAUAAUCCUCAAGAAAAUCCAACAUUACCGAAAGAAAAUGCAGAUAUUAUGGAGGUAAUGCAAAAAGCUCCAUAAAGUAAUCCAAAUUCAGCCCUACGAUUAUUAGCCGAAUUAAUGAUUUGUGUUCAUAAUUUCAACAGAAGAAAAUGAGUCCACAUGCUUUGUCAUCAUCAUAUAAGACAAAUUAUUACUAAAAACUUCAAAAUCACGAGCAGAGCAUCUCCAACGUUACUAGCUAAUUUUUUGUUAUUGUAACUAAUCGGAUAACCCAAAUGUUAAUUUGGCUGAACAUCAUUUCCAACAAUACUAGAUAUUUUAAGUUAAGUUAAAAUAUUUUAAUAUUAUAUUUUCUAAACUUAACAACUUAAGCCUUUUUUAUGCUCUUGAAGCCCACAAACAGUGCAUUUUAUAGUUUGUAAUGUUUAGAAGGAGGUAACUUUUUUUCUCAUCUGAGCUAAAUUUAGCUGGUUAAUAAUUUAGCUAGUCUGUUGAAACUUGAAUUUUCUCCUUUUUAUUUAUUUAUUAAAGUAGGAAAAAAUCUCAUUUAAUUAGGCUGUUGGAAGUCCUUUUAAUAGGUUUACGUUUAAGUUUACUUGCUGACUAAAUUUGACAUACACCAAUAAUGGUCGGCUAAACUUAAAUUAGUCCAAACCCCAAUUGAUAAUCUUUCUUCCGAAGAUUGUCUUGUGUGCGACCGGAUACGGCAUAUUUUCUACGGGGUGGGUGGGACCAUAUGUCUCUCGGGGUGUCGAGAAAAUAUAUUAUGGUUCCGAUUUAUAUGUGUAACGGUAUGAACACGUGAUUUGACUGUUGUUUACCGAAUUUAAAUGAAAAGAAUUUGAACUUGAUAAUACUAAAAUUGCAACAAAAAUUAAGGAACAUUAUAUUAAAUGAUGUCAAAUAAUCAAAAUCUUAUCAUAUAACGUCAUCUAAUUCCUGGAUUUGAAAUCAUUUCAUCCGAAUGGAGUCCAUGGUAGGCCUCAAUAUCUCAUCAUCAUGAACUGCUUUUCAGGAUUAAUCACCAAUAAAACUAGAAAAUAUGUGACAAAAGCUUUUUUUUUAAAUUUCUUCUCCUAGUUAAGUUUAGUCAGCCCACCUACUCAGCCAACAUUUCUGUUGAGAGCCGAGACCAUUCGGCAGCAGGAGAAAUUCUAGCAUGCGGCUACCAUAUGCGGCAACACUCUCACAAAGGGUGGGAUCAACGUGAAUAUGCUGCCGCAGCCGCACUCUAGAGUUCAUGCUGCUGUAGGUUUUGUAAACUCAACAUGGGAAAUGUUUUGGGCACAACAUACUGCUUUUUACCAGUAGUAAUGCAGUAAUUUGAUGCUUUGUCUUGAUAGUUGGUGCAUACGAAACCAUGCAUAUCUUUCGAAUUCAAGGUAAAAUUGAAACACGAAUUGCUUGCCUUAAAAGUAAAUUUUAUCCAAAAACAUGUUAAACCAAUCCAUCAGGAGGAUUUGAAAGUACAUAUUUCUUCAGGAGUUGAACAAUAACAGUGUUUUCUGAGGCGAAGGUGUCGAGCAAAGCGUUUAGAGCCUCGCAAGGUGAGGCGUAAGCCUUCGGGUUUCUUAUUUUUUUCUCUAGUUAUAAUACCACAGAGGCAAAGGAUGAGAGGAUGAGAGACUUCACUAGUACAAUAUCAACCUUUUGUAGUCUGCUGUAGUGAGCUCAAAGAAUGGUAGUUUAACUCGCAGUUUCGAGGGCCGAAGCAAGACGAUAAAUGAUGAACAAUGUAUGAAUUUUUGCCUCAAAAGUCUUGAAACAAAUACAGAAACCUAUUUAGAAAACUGCAAAUGGUUUGAAAUUUUGAAUACGCAAAAGACCGCUACUAAAACUUUACAAAAUCACAGAAACCAAUUGUGAUGGACAAUGGUAAAACAGUAGUUAACAAAACUGUGAGAGAGGAAGGAACACAAGCCAAAUAGAAAGAAACAAAGUCCUUUUCGAAGCCUUGGUUAUACACACGAUUUUUCAAAUGAACGAAUAUACAACUUUGAGCUAACAAAAGACUUCAUCAUUUACUUAGUUCUCCCUAUGCGUUUCUUC
This 11971-nucleotide long non-coding RNA is filed under the name Malus domestica (apple). RNAcentral describes it as "long non-coding RNA (MDOM_LNC002354)". Lineage: Eukaryota; Viridiplantae; Streptophyta; Magnoliopsida; Rosales; Rosaceae. The record is from RNAcentral.